This is a non-coding RNA of Pelobates cultripes (western spadefoot toad), 310 nucleotides long. The record is from the annotation of a GenBank genome assembly. NCBI's taxonomy places the organism in Eukaryota, Metazoa, Chordata, Amphibia, Anura, Pelobatidae.
AGUAGGGGCAUGUCUUCUAAACAGUGAGCAGCCAGUUGCUGUAAACUUUUCUCAUGAUGUGUAAUUUGACUCAUAGCACUCUGGUUGGUUGCUUUCAAUCAACCACUCAGAAAGUUAUGAGUCAAAUUACACAGCAUGGGAAAAUUCAAAAGAACUUCCUCACACUGUGUAAAAUUACUCAGAGAACUCUGAUUGGUUGGAUUCCAAGCUAACCAAUCAGAGUGCUGUGACAGAUAAAUGUAGAGACUUACCUGUCAGUAAAAUUACUCAGAGCACAGGCUGCUCACUGUUUAGUAGACAUGCCCCUACU